Molecule: long non-coding RNA, 2828 nt
Organism: Onychostoma macrolepis
Lineage: Eukaryota; Metazoa; Chordata; Actinopteri; Cypriniformes; Cyprinidae
Exons: 4
Source: RefSeq, a predicted model, not a curated record
UGUAUUUUGGUGAGGUUUACUUUCUGGAGCUUAGCAACAUAAAUUUGUUGUCACCGAACUAUUAAACACAGCGGACACAUGUUGGCGGAGUUUGAAGGAAAGGUGCAUGAAACUGAUCAUAGGAUAGCCCAUGUAAUAAUAAGGGAAAUGGGCCCGCUGUUGGACUUUAAUAUCCCCCGACGACACUCAGCUGUCAAUGGCCUCCACCAUCGCCAGGAUGCAUGGCGGCUUCUGCCAGAAACACUGGAUUUAUCCUCCUUCACAUGGAGCCAGUGAGAGGAAAUGCCUACAGUCGGUGGGAAUCCAUAAAGGAGAGACGGGAGAGAGAAGAAAAGAAGAUUAAGGGAACGAGAACGACUGGAAACGGAAAAAGUCAUGGGAGGAAGGCAUGGGAUGAGAUACAGGCGAGCUACAGUUGUGGCAGCGCUGCACACCCUACAGAUGACCUCUUUUCUCAUUAAGAGUCCGAGCCUCACCAUUUAUCUUCCCCAUCAGAGCUGCUUCACAUGGACCGCACCGACAGACACUGCUUCGUAAUUAUGCCAAAUAUAAAUUUACAAUGAAAAAUGAAUACAGCUGCAUUAACGCUGUCCUUACUCCUGUGAAUCACACCUGCUAAAGACAAGCCGCUUUCAGAGAGAGUUGCUGCUUUAUGCCCAGAUCUUUCACAGCAUCCCUCAGACUGAGGCCCAGAGGCUGCGGUAGACCCCGUUCCUCACAGGUUCAGGAGUUCACAGCGGGGUCUGUAGGAUGAGGAGCAGGCCGUCUGCCAGUCCUGGCAUGUGCGGCUCUAAUUGCACAUCAUUGGCAUAAUGCUAUGCAGAAGCAUGCUGACUCGAGAUGUAAAGGAAGUACAUGAACUCUCAAACAAACAAUUAGCAGGGUUUUGCAUCCAUGCUAAAUAUGCAUUGAAUAUAAUUCACAGGUGCAUAUUCAUAUUUAUGUUUGACAUUGGCGGAAUAAUACAUUUUAUGCAAAGCAGGUGGGAUUCUUCAACUAUGGGCUCCCUUAAAACACACACUACUUUAUUUGAUUGUACUACUAAUAAUUUCCAAUAGUGUAUUUAUGUACAUCACAGGAGAAUUGUGAUGGAAAUGAUAUUUGUUCAUGAAUGACACAUCUCAAAAGACCAUUCAUUUCAAAGACUAAUUCAUAGUUAACAUUUUAUGCAUUCUUAUACAAUACACAAUCACAGCCAGUGUUAUUGCUGUGUUAUAUAGUUUUUAUUAUUUUGAAUCAGUAUUUAUUUGAAUAUUUUCCACUUUAGUUUAAUUUGUAAGUUGUAGUAAUUUUGUGUGUUUUUCAUAUAUUAUAUACAUAUUUAUUUUAUCUCAGUUUUGCUUUUAGCUACUUUAAUGUGACCUUUAUGUUUUAAUGUGACCUUUAUAUAACUGAAAAAAAAUAUAUAUCAAGUUUUUUUUUUUUGGAUUCAGUCAAAAUCAUCCCCUGGGCCUGCGGUUGAAGAAAUUGCUAAAACACAUCCAGGUCACGACAAAGUGAUUUACAUAGCAUCCCCUUGGGGUCCACGGAGCCCUGUUGGAAAACCCCUGUUUUAGAUCAUAUGGAGCUGUACAGUUAUUCAUGUGCAGACAAGAGCAGAAAUGCCGUCAGAACUCUUGCUGGAAGGAAUAAGAUGAAGACAAUGUGAGCAGAUCGUCUGUGAUCCAGGGCAAGAAUGAACCACAUACAACAACUACAAGAGCCAGCUAGUUCAGCUGUGUGAAAAUGUCACCUGUGCUCUCUCUUUCUCUCUCUCUCUCAUUCCCCAUUUUCCCGGGCUGAGAUGAUGCGGCUUUCCUCAGCAUCCGCACACAUCGCCCUGCAUCCCUGCAGGAAAAUGCCCUUUAGAAUAAACGCAUCCUUUACGCUGCUAUUUGAAGCUCGCUUUCCUGAGAGAUUCCUUUCCAGCGCAAUUCUCCAGAAAUGUAGCUCCUUCACCCCGGUAAAUAGCACUACACUCGAGCUCUCUGGCAGCAGUCCAUGUUUAUUAGGAAUUUUGACUUUUGGGGUGUUUUCUCUGCCUUUUUUUCCCCUUUUUGAAAAGCAGGCCUUGUUUUGAAAAUCAACAAACAGAAACCUGGCAAUGUGUGCCUCAUUUUAUCAAAUGGUACACAGCUUGGUAAUGGUCUCCCCUGACGAUUCCAACUAAUCUAUGCUGAUGACCACAGGGACGGCGAUGAUUGUCAUGUUAGUAGAAAAAAAAAAAUCAGAACAAUCAUGUUGCGUCAGUUCUACCAUUAAAAGACUUGCUUCUCUGCAAAUUUCUGCACGCAGUAAUUAAUACUCUGGGGCUUGCCUUCACCAGACUGGUACUCCAGGCAACGAGAUGCCACUCACCUGAUAAUUAUUUUAGGAAACCAUGCACAACUGAAUGUGAUUGACAAAUGCAACAUUGCUGUAAUUGCCUGAAGCAUACAGCGAGGGAGAGAGAGAGCGGGGAAGAGAGAGAGAGAGGAACAAGGAGUUAAUGCCGCACUGUCAAAUGAAAGGAAAACUAAAGAGGAAGUCCUACAGAGAUCUUGUCAUUCUCUACAACAAAGGUGGACACUUACAGGUGUAAGGUCAGACUUAUUUGCUGAGUGCCACUUCUGAUCGCAUCGGGCUCUGCUAGCAGACGUGCAUGGGAACCGGUGUUAGAAAUUACUUUGAAACUGCAGGCUGCCAAGCUACAAGGUGCUCUAUAUUAUUUUAAGUAGUUCAACUACAGUCAAGGUAUUGCUUUGAAAAAGUAGGUUGCACUACAAGUUUGUUAAAAGAAGUAGCUGUUAAGGGGUAAUAUGUUUUGUAACCUUCUAAUGCAUGUUGGACAGAUCUUUAAAUGGCAUCCA